GUAUUUGAUUUAAAAUUGUCUUAUAGCAAGCCCAAUCUCAUCUGAUCUCAGAAGCUAAGCAGGGUUGGGCCUGGUUAGUACUUGGAUGGGAGACCACCUAGGAAGACCAGGUGCUGUAGGCA
This 122-nucleotide ribosomal RNA is filed under the name Pteropus alecto (black flying fox). The record is from RNAcentral. Lineage: Eukaryota; Metazoa; Chordata; Mammalia; Chiroptera; Pteropodidae.